CAUGUGCUAUCUAUGUAUGUAUGUAUGUAUGUAUGUAUGUAUGUAUGUAUGAUUUAACAAUUUAUACUUUCCAAAUAAACAACUGCACCAUAUGCAUGCAUGUGCAUGGGAUAUAGCCUAAAGAAAAUAUUGAAGACAAAAAUCUGCAUUACACAAAUAACAGUUUUAUUGAAACCACAGAGACCUUCCUUUCAUUUUCUACAUUUGUCAGUACUCUACUCAGCACCGACUGCUUCAACCAGAACGCAUGCCAAAGGCGAUGGAGCAUAAUCCCUUGAGUAGGAAGCUGAGAUUCAGGCGCGAGGAGAGGACAGGACAUGUAAGAGACACUAGCAACAAGGAGGCUGAUAGGUCCUGACCUAUAGUCCUAACUCAUACUCCUAAUCAGUAGGUGGCGGUACUGCACCUAAAAGUUGUUUGCUAACCACCAGUAAAACUCGAGAAGGAGAAUGAUCGUUGGCAUGCUCUCAACCCAGGGAAACUUCAAGCUUUACAAGAUGCUGUUUUAAACCAGUUUCCAAGGCCAAAGCUGAUGUUAGAAAAUCCAUCAACAGUAGAAUAUGCGAGCUAGACACCAGGUGAAGUGCAAAAGCAUGGGUAUAUAAGUCAUUUAAAUCAGUGAAGAGCCAAGAUGGACUCCUAAUCAGGAUAAAGGCCUGUUCUUUUGGCAAUUUAUUUCUUUGCUUUUCCAUGUUGCCAAAGCUCCUUGAAAGUUUGUUUAUUAUUUAUUUAUCUAUUUUUGUCUGUGCAUUUUGUUUAUAUUGUAUUUUUAACUGUAUAACGGCACUGCUGAAAGUUUUAAAUAAAUAGACAUUGGUAAUUUAAAUUGCUUUAAUUUAUAUUUUGUAUAUUUUCUGUUUAAUGUCACUCUUUUAACAUGUAAUUUAUGUAAAUGUAAUGCAAGACAUUUAUGUAAUGUAAAGCAAAUCACAUUGUCUGACCAUGUGCAAAACCUCUUGUGGUUGUAAUAGGUCUGUUUAGCUCUCUACCUCAAAUUGGUUUUAGUAUGUGUGCCUGAUUAAAAGAAAAUAAAGGUGGCUUUUGAUAGAUUA
Non-coding RNA from Misgurnus anguillicaudatus (oriental weatherfish), 1052 nucleotides. Lineage: Eukaryota; Metazoa; Chordata; Actinopteri; Cypriniformes; Cobitidae. The record is from RefSeq and is a predicted model, not a curated record.